This 248-nucleotide ribosomal RNA is filed under the name uncultured bacterium. RNAcentral describes it as "partial 16S ribosomal RNA". It matches the Rfam family "Bacterial small subunit ribosomal RNA", at positions 529 to 776 of the family's 1533-position model. The record is from RNAcentral.
AGGGUGCAAGCGUUGUCCGGAUUUAUUGGGUUUAAAGGGUGCGUAGGCGGCCCUGUAAGUCAGUGGUGAAAUACUCCAGCUUAACUGGAGGGGUGCCAUUGAUACUGCAGGGCUUGAGUUAAGUUGAAGUUGGCGGAAUUGACGGUGUAGCGGUGAAAUGCUUAGAUAUCGUCAAGAACACCGAUAGUGAAGACAGCUAACUAAACUUUUACUGACGCUGAGGCACGAAAGCGUGGGGAGCAAACAGG